This is a long non-coding RNA of Talpa occidentalis (Iberian mole), 1270 nucleotides long. RefSeq lists it as uncharacterized. The transcript is spliced from 3 exons. Lineage: Eukaryota; Metazoa; Chordata; Mammalia; Eulipotyphla; Talpidae. The record is from RefSeq and is a predicted model, not a curated record.
GGCACCCACACUAUUCUGCAUUUGUAGGACAAUGAACUGCCUGCCAAAAGGGCCUGUAGCAGUAAGUGUCCAAGCAUCUGCUGUUUCAGCUGGAACUUUUCUUAACCUGGAGAGGAGCAGACACUUAAAACCAGGAAGAGUGAAGGAAACGCCACCAGCCAGCUGGUCAUAUGCAUAAGGUUUCUGGGCGUGAUAAGAAAUAGCAGCAACAUUUGGAAACUGCCUGGGUAGAGAACCCUUUAGAGACCACCCUGGGGAUACAUCUCUAUGGAAACAGAUGCUGCAAUUAAAGACCUGGACAGAGAAUGGGGACAUGAAUAAUGGUGGUGCCCAGUAUUAGCACAACACGUCAUUUGUCACCACUGAAGGGCAAAUGCAAAACCCUUGAAACAUCCCUGGAAAAGAGAAGGGGAGAAAAGUACAAGCUCCUGGGAAAUGUGAUUUUCCACUCAGCAAGGAUGGGAGAGUCUCCAUGUUGGAACAGACCACACUUUUUGAACAUUGGCACAUACAAUGACAUUUAUAAUGUGGACGUUAUGUGGGACCGAUUAAUCACACAAUUGGUCUGUGGCUAUUUCCCAGGCAGGUAUUUGACUGCAUGUAUAUGCGCUCCCUGUUUCUCGAGAAACUCUAUCCUGCCUAUUUUGAGUAGGAAGAAGAACAUGGGGUCCAUGUAAUGGAAGGAAAAUGAGUUUGCUGUGAAUGAUGAGUCUGAGCAGUUUCUACUCAAUGUGAAUGUGAUUUUGUUUCCUAAAGUGUACAGAAUAUUCUAAAGAAGAAUAGAGGGUUGGUGAUCUUUCAUUCAGGUCAGAAUAAACUGGAAAGGCUUGGCUUUAGACAGGGUAGGGACAUUUCAACUUGAACUAGUUCCCCAGCCAGGGAGCUGUCGCCCCAAGUCUGUGGGCAACAGGAGCAAUUCCAGGUACCAUCAUAAGUCUGAAGCUGCUGCUCUAUCUCCUGCCUCUACCACCUUGGUCCUGGGAAUAUAAGAGGAUCAGAAGGUAUUCGUACUGGGGAAGAGAAACAAGGCAGGGGGUGGUCUAGGGCUAGGAAAGGCCACUGAUCAGGUUAUCUAUGAUCUGGCAGACGGGUAGAGUCUUGGAGUCCUCGGUGGCUUUCUUAGGCUUUUAGUGAGCUUUACAUGUAGAGCACCAACCAGGUACAUGGCAGGCAGGGGUGCCGGGUGGCCAGGAGGCCAGGAGGCCAGGAGGCCAGGAGGCCUCCAAGCCCCUGGCAAGUCUUCACUCUGGGCUUCUCUCUCUCUCUCUCU